Long non-coding RNA from Onychostoma macrolepis, 585 nucleotides. RefSeq lists it as uncharacterized. The transcript is spliced from 2 exons. The record is from RefSeq and is a predicted model, not a curated record. Lineage: Eukaryota; Metazoa; Chordata; Actinopteri; Cypriniformes; Cyprinidae.
CUUAGUUCCCAUGACAUCUACAGCACAAGAUGGAUUAAAAUGCUGAUAAAUGCAUGAAAAUAUGAGAAACACGAUCAUAUGACUGGCACUUAAUUUUUCGAGAGUUUGUUUUGCCUUGUUUCAUUAGUGUUGAUUGAAACAACAUUGUUGCACCCAAUCUUCCAGUUUCAGAUGCAGUGACGGGCGUGUUUUAGAGGGUUACGGCGAAGAAUGGGGCACUUGGGGAGACUGGAGUAAAACAUGUGAAGGAAAAGGGAUCUGUGGUCUCCAGACACUGGUAGAAGCGCCACAAGGAACCGGAGACGACACCGCUCUCAAUAACGUGCGCAUGUACUGCUGCGCUUAAGGUGUUCGAGGACAACAAGAACAGAAAGAUCAGAUGGCUCAUAAUUAAUCAGCGUACUGUUAUGAGCUCACAUUAACCAUGUCAUAUAAAAGCCAGUCACAAAAUAAAGCCUGAGAUGUGAUCAGGACCUCAACACCGAGCAGAGGCCGACUGUACGUCUCACUGUGUCACGUCACCAUCCUGAACUCCCAUGAGUUAUGUCCCAACAUCUAUUAAAAUACUAAUUUGACUUGAAAUGA